This 446-nucleotide ribosomal RNA is filed under the name uncultured bacterium. RNAcentral describes it as "bacterial SSU rRNA". It matches the Rfam family "Bacterial small subunit ribosomal RNA", at positions 355 to 825 of the family's 1533-position model. The record is from RNAcentral.
UCGGGAAUUUUGGGCAAUGGGGGAAACCCUGACCCAGCAACGCCGCGUGAAGGAUGAAGUAUUUCGGUAUGUAAACUUCGAAAGAAUAGGAAGAAUAAAUGACGGUACUAUUUAUAAGGUCCGGCUAACUACGUGCCAGCAGCCGCGGUAAUACGUAGGGACCAAGCGUUGUUCGGAUUUACUGGGCGUAAAGGGCGCGUAGGCGGCAUGACAAGUCACUUGUGAAAUCUCUGGGCUUAACCCAGAACGGCCAAGUGAUACUGUCGCGCUAGAGUGCAGAAGGGGCAAUCGGAAUUCUUGGUGUAGCGGUGAAAUGCGUAGAUAUCAAGAGGAACACCUGAGGUGAAGACGGGUUGCUGGGCUGACACUGACGCUGAGACGCGAAAGCGUGGGGAGCAAACAGGAUUAGAUACCCAAGUAGCCCUGAGCGGGCUGGCAAGGCGCAU